Molecule: ribosomal RNA, 738 nt
Filed under: Fusarium oxysporum f. sp. cepae
Lineage: Eukaryota; Fungi; Ascomycota; Sordariomycetes; Hypocreales; Nectriaceae
Description: SSU rRNA
Rfam family: Bacterial small subunit ribosomal RNA
Source: RNAcentral
UUCAGCAGUCCAAGGAUAUUAGUCAAUGGCCUAACGGCUGAACUGGCAACUUGGAGAAGUGGCAAGUCUUCCAGUAUGGGGAGCAAAACAGCUAUGGGUCAAGUCCGAUAUCUUUAGGAGAAGUCUUAUUGUGAGGGCGAGUUAUAUAACACCAUAGGACUGGCCGUCCCAUAUGAAAAGAUUAUAUUAGAAUUGAAUGAAGCUUUGUUUAUAUAUUGAUAAUGACAGUAUAUAUAUCGUGUCUUGACUAAUUGCGUGCCAGCAGUCGCGGUAAUACGUAAGAGACUAGUGUUAUUCAUCUUAAUUAGGUUUAAAGGGUACCCAGACGGUCAAUAUAGCUUAUAAAAUGUUAGUACUUGACUAGAGUUUUAUGUAAGAGGGCAGUACUUGAGGAGGAGAGAUGAAAUUUCGUGAUACCAAAGGGACUCUGUAAAGGCGAAGGCAGCCCUCUAUGUAAAAACUGACGUUGAAGGACGAAGGCACAGAGAACAAACAGGAUUAGAUACCCAAGUAGUCUUUGCAGUAAAUGAUGAAUGCCAUAGGUUAGAUUGGUCAAUUAUAGUCUAGGGUUAGUCUAGCAAACUAAUACCCUAUGCUAUAAUCCUAAUAUCUGGUCUAUAAAUGAAAGUGUAAGCAUUUCACCUCAAGAGUAAUGUGGCAACGCAGGAACUGAAAUCACUAGACCGUUUCUGACACCAGUAGUGAAGUAUGUUAUUUAAUUCCGAAUAAUCCGCCAAA